This 447-nucleotide ribosomal RNA is filed under the name uncultured bacterium. RNAcentral describes it as "partial 16S ribosomal RNA". It matches the Rfam family "Bacterial small subunit ribosomal RNA", at positions 29 to 523 of the family's 1533-position model. The record is from RNAcentral.
AACGAACGCUGGCGGCAGGCUUAACACAUGCAAGUCGAGCGCCUCGCAAGGGGAGCGGCAGACGGGUGAGUAACACGUGGGGAUCUGCCCGAUGGUACGGAAUAACUCAGGGAAACUUGUGCUAAUACCGUAUGUGCCCGCAAGGGGAAAGAUUUAUCGCCAUCGGAUGAACCCGCGUCGGAUUAGCUAGUUGGUGUGGUAAAGGCGCACCAAGGCGACGAUCCGUAGCUGGUCUGAGAGGAUGAUCAGCCACACUGGGACUGAGACACGGCCCAGACUCCUACGGGAGGCAGCAGUGGGGAAUAUUGGACAAUGGGCGCAAGCCUGAUCCAGCCAUGCCGCGUGAGUGAUGAAGGCCUUAGGGUUGUAAAGCUCUUUCGCCGACGAAGAUAAUGACGGUAGUCGGAGAAGAAGCCCCGGCUAACUUCGUGCCAGCCGCCGCAGUAA